AGCGGCGGACGGGUGAGUAACGCGUGAGCAAUCUGUCCCAGACAGGGGGAUAACAUUGGGAAACCAAUGCUAAUACCGCAUAAGACCACGGGGAGGCAUCUUUCUGAGGUAAAAGGAGGAAUCCGGUUUGGGGUGAGCUCGCGUCCCAUUAGCUAGUUGGUGAGGUAACGGCCCACCAAGGCGACGAUGGGUAGCCGGCCUGAGAGGGUGAACGGCCACAUUGGAACUGAGAGACGGUCCAGACUCCUACGGGAGGCAGCAGUGGGGGAUAUUGCACAAUGGGGGAAACCCUGAUGCAGCGACGCCGCGUGGAGGAAGAAGGUUUUCGGAUUGUAAACUCCUGUCGUUAGGGACGAUAAUGACGGUACCUAACAAGAAAGCACCGGCUAACUACGUGCCAGCAGCCGCGGUAAAACGUAGGGUGCAAGCGUUGUCCGGAAUUACUGGGUGUAAAGGGAGCGCAGGCGGACCGGCAAGUUGGAAGUGAAAACCAUGGGCUCAACCCAUGAAUUGCUUUCAAAACUGCUGGCCUUGAGUAGUGCAGAGGUAGGUGGAAUCCCCGGUGUAGCGGUGGAAUGCGUAGAUAUCGGGAGGAACACCAGUGGCGAAGGCGGCCUACUGGGCACCAACUGACGCUGAGGCUCGAAAGUGUGGGUAGCAAACAGGAUAGAUACCCUGGUAGUCCACACCGUAAACGAUGAUUACUAGGUGUUGGAGGAUUGACCCCUUCAGUGCCGCAGUUAACACAAUAAGUAAUCCACCUGGGGAGUACGACCGCAAGGUUGAAACUCAAAGGAAUUGACGGGGGCCCGCACAAGCAGUGGAGUAUGUGGUUUAAUUCGACGCAACGCGAAGAACCUUACCAAGUCUUGACAUCCCUUGACGAUGCUGGAAACAGUAUUUCUCUUCGGAGCAAGGAGACAGGUGGUGCAUGGUUGUCGUCAGCUCGUGUCGUGAGAUGUUGGGUUAAGUCCCGCAACGAGCGCAACCCUUAUGGUCAGUUACUACGCAAGAGGACUCUGGCCAGACUGCCGUUGACAAAACGGAGGAAGGUGGGGAUGACGUCAAAUCAUCAUGCCCUUUAUGACUUGGGCUACACACGUACUACAAUGGCGUUAAACAAAGAGAAGCAAGACCGCGAGGUGGAGCAAAACUCAGAAACAACGUCCCAGUUCGGACUGCAGGCUGCAACUCGCCUGCACGAAGUCGGAAUUGCUAGUAAUCGUGGAUCAGCAUGCCACGGUGAAUACGUUCCCGGGCCUUG
Molecule: ribosomal RNA, 1264 nt
Filed under: uncultured bacterium
Lineage: Bacteria
Description: bacterial SSU rRNA
Rfam family: Bacterial small subunit ribosomal RNA
Source: RNAcentral